Molecule: ribosomal RNA, 497 nt
Filed under: uncultured bacterium
Lineage: Bacteria
Description: partial 16S ribosomal RNA
Rfam family: Bacterial small subunit ribosomal RNA
Source: RNAcentral
GAUGAACGCUGGCGGCGUGCUUAACACAUGCAAGUCGAGCGAAAAGACGCGUAGUUUGAUGCUCUCACGUUAGCCGCGCACGGGAGUGUCACAUGGGGGUACCCCACUUAACUGACUGGGAUAACUGCGGGACAGGGGCGCUAAUACGGGAUAAUAUCAUUUACCGUAUGGUUCAAUAGUGAAAGUCGGUUUUGCUGUCACUUAUAGCUGGAUCCGCGCCGCAUUAGCUAGUUGGUAAGGUAACGGCUUACCAAGGGAAGGAGGCGUAGCCGACCUGAGAGGGUGAUCGGCCACACGGGAGCUGAGACACGGUCCAGACUCCUGCGGGAGGCAGCAGUAGGGCAGCUGCCGCAAUGGGCGAAAACCUGACGGUGCAACGCCGCGUGAGUGAUGGAGGUCUUCUGAGCGUAAAACUCUUUUAGUAGGGAAGAACAAUUGUGUAAGUAACUAUGCACGUCUUGACGGUACCUGGUCAGAAAGCCACGGCUAACUACGUG